GCUCACAAUAUUACAGGGCAGAGACAGACUCAGAGGCCCAAUGCAGUAUACCGAAGACAGGGACACACACAGGUUUGUUGUGAAUGGGAGGAAUGUGACAAAACCUAUCAAACAAGACAUAAAAAAGGAAAGCAGGAAAACAAAGUCAAAGGACAACUUGAAAAGAAAAUCAGUAUGCGGGAAGUAUAGAGAGACUGAAAUCAUGAAAAGCAGGACACCGGGUGGCAAGAAAUGUCUGCUUGAAAUUUGACUCCUUAGGAUGGAAGCGAACAUGAAACUACAGCCAGCCCUGGACAGGAUACCAGUUUGUCAGAGGGGCACCCCCACAAUCAAAGAGGGACGACUUGAAACUGCCAGUCUGGUAACAUUUCAGUAGACCAGGGGUGUCGAACUCGAUAUUAUAGAGGGUUCGAUUGGCUACAGGUUUUUGUUCCAGCAACUUCUUAAUCAAUGCUAAUAGAACAGAUCUCUUUUACCUUCAUUUCAAUUAUCAUGGUUUUUAACAUUCAGAACCCUUUAAAUAUUUUCUCUAAACAAUAAACCGCAGCUAAACAGUGAGAUGAAAAACAAGUCAAAAAAUGACAAGCUAACUUGGGCCUUUCAAACUCAGUCCCUGCUGGGUCACCAUUUUCACACCAACCAAAUUCUUGUUCAGCUGCUACUGAAACCCGUCUAACUCUGUGGCUUAUGAUUGCUCUCAAUAUGCCACUCUAGACAUUUUCAAAAGUUACCGAUCUUCUGAUAGUGCCAUCACAUGUUUUACUGACCACAGAAAACCCAUAUUUCUUAGAUCUUCACUUUCUUAUUUUCAAAUAUUUUAAUGGAACAAAUACUGCAUGAUAGACACAAUGAUAUAAAAUUGAUCAAAUUAGUCUGGUGAUCUGUUGACUCGCUUUAAAUCUCAGUAUUGUUUUGGUGCUGGUUAAAGAAAAAUGAAAAAUUUAACACACAAGUCAAUUAAAAUCAUAAAAUACAGCAAUACCUCGUUUAACGAAUCCUCUCUCUACGAAGUUUCAGUAAAAUGAAGCUAACUUCUGACUAUUGCUAAACUUGUUAGGCAUCGUUCAAAUGACAUUACAAUGUUCCGUAUACAUAACAGAACUUAAUGUGUAUAUUAUGAACAGUUCAUUACAUGCAUUGAGAUAUUUAAUGUAUUUUCGACAAUAUUCGCAGAGUAUAAACAAGUUAAUAAUGUUAGGUUCAACAUUAUUUUAUGAAAUAAUUAUUCAUUUUUUUAUUUGUUUAGUAUGUCAGAAUCAUUAACGAGAAAAGCAAUUUCAACAUGACACUAAAGAGGUCGGAGAAAAAAAGUGCAACACUCCAGCAUCUAAGGGGCUGGUACAAUCAACUCUAAAUCAACUCAACAAAGUGGUGAGGCGGCCUUCUGCUGUUAUGCACCUAAAAUCUGGAAUAGCCUGCCAAUAGGAAUUCGCCAGG
Long non-coding RNA from Polypterus senegalus (gray bichir), 1437 nucleotides. RefSeq lists it as uncharacterized. The transcript has 3 exons. The record is from RefSeq and is a predicted model, not a curated record. NCBI's taxonomy places the organism in Eukaryota, Metazoa, Chordata, Cladistia, Polypteriformes, Polypteridae.